RNAcentral lists this ribosomal RNA (593 nucleotides) under uncultured Deferribacter sp. RNAcentral's name for it is "partial 16S ribosomal RNA". The record is from RNAcentral. Lineage: Bacteria; Pseudomonadati; Deferribacterota; Deferribacteres; Deferribacterales; Deferribacteraceae.
GCAUCCAACGCGUGGGAGCUCUCCCAUAUGGUCGACCUGCAGGCGGCCGCGAAUUCACUAGUGAUUCGUAUUACCGCGGCUGCUGGCACAGAGUUAGCCGGGGCUUCCUCUGCAGGUACAAUCAACUCACCGGCGUAUUAGGCCGAUUCGCUUUUUCCCUGCUGACAGGAGUUUACAAUCCAAGGACCUUCAUCCUCCACGCGGCGUUGCUGCGUCAGGCGUUAGCCCAUUGCGCAAAAUUCCCCACUGCUGCCUCCCGUAGGAGUCUGGACCGUGUCUCAGUUCCAGUGUGGCCGAUCACCCUCUCAGGCCGGCUACCGAUCGUCGCCUUGGUAGGCCAUUACCCUACCAACUAGCUAAUCGGACGCGGACUCCUCCUAUGGCGAGAGAUCUUGCGACCCCCCUUUGACCUCACGGUCAUAUGCGGUAUUAGCCCGAGUUUCCCCGGGUUAUCCCCCACCUCAGGGCAGAUAAUCCACGCGUUACUCACCCGUUCGCCGCUCGACUGGGUAUUGCUACCCGCCUCGCUCGACUUGCAUGUGUAAAGCACGCCGCCAGCGUUCAUUCUGAGCCAUGAUCAAACUCUAAUCGAA